This 1412-nucleotide long non-coding RNA is filed under the name Homo sapiens (human). Its description in RNAcentral is "non-protein coding lnc-MPP6-1:2". The record is from RNAcentral. Lineage: Eukaryota; Metazoa; Chordata; Mammalia; Primates; Hominidae.
GAACUGAACCAGAGUCAGCUUGCUCCAGUGUGCAUAUGGCAUGAGGUAAGCCAAUCAGAUAUUCUCUUCCAGGAGUUUGGAAUCAAGGUUCAGUGAUAGCAGGGGCUGGAACUGUAACUUGUGAGUGAGUUAACCCUCUGAGAGACUGGGUCCUGGUCUGGAGAAUCUUUGUUUGCUGACUCCCAAGAUAGGACAGGCAAUGCUGAGUGUUCACAUCCAGCUGUAGAAGCCAGGAGAAAGUUGGUGCCCCUGCAUGGAAGGGUUGAGAGAUUGAGGAGCCUGGUGGAAUUGGGUGCAGAAGGGGGUGACCCAGGAGCACACUGGAUGACGUAUUUAGAGUAGGGGCAAAAGAGAAGAACCCUAAUUAGAGGUGCUGCUGGGAAGAUUUGGAGGCAGAGAAUGGGUUUGAAGAAUUUGCCUGGGAGUAUGUAGGGUAACCCCUGCAUUGUCCUGCGAACUCCUCAGUAAAGUCAGAUGGGCCUCUUAUGUUUUGGUGAGUGCAGAGCCCUGUGUCCAUGCUUGUGUGAGACAAGAACAGGGGCUGGACAGGGGAACGGCUGGCAUUUGGGCUAAAUGGGCCAACUCAGAUGUUAUAGGAGGUACCUCUUGGCAGAGGAACAGAUAAAGCUGGACAGUAGAGAGAAAAGAAGAAAUAUGCCAUUAAGAGAGAAAUAAAGGUGAGAGAAAGAGUGAAAGUCUUGCUUUGUGGGUGGUGGUGAUGUCUUGUUAGCCACUAGUUCUGGUUCUAGUUCUGUCCUGAGGACUAGAUGGUCUCCUGCCCUUGCUUUCUGGGAGGCAUUCUUGUAUACUUAUUAUACAUUCUCUUUUUUAGUUAACCUAGCUCAAAAUUGGGUUCUGUUAAUAGCUAUCAAAAACCUUAAUAAUUACAAGAAAUCCAUAGCACCUAGAAUUUAAGUAAAUCGAGCCAAGUCCUGUGGCUACUUAGCAGUAGGAGCUGGGUUCAGACCCAUCUCCUAGCGCUCUCUCCAUCACACUCUGAGUGGCCACCCUGGCUGCCUCAUUGUUUUGCAAAUACACCGACCUCAGGAGCUCAUGCUGAUCCUAUUAGAGUUUGCUCCUCCUGUCACAAACAGCCCUAGAGGCCACUUCCUCACCUCAUUUAGGUCUCAAUUCUAAUGUCACUCAGAGAUACCUACCCUGACAACCUCAUCUAAAAUAGUCUCUAAAUUCUUUCUUGUAUACUUACUAUAAAUAUUAAGUUUCUAGGCUUUACAUAUUUAUUUAUUUUUACUAAAACUUAUUGCUACUAGAAUUUAUAUUGCAUGUUUAUUUGUAUACUUUUUUAUCUACCUCCCCCCGUCCCCACCAGAAUAUAAGCUCUUUGAGGUCUGGGAUCACCUUUCUUAUCCAUUGCUGUAUUUUCAGUGCACUGACUAGAACUGCACCUGGCA